GACGUAGGGCGCAAGCGUUUGUCCGGAUUUAUUGGGCGUAAAGAGCUCGUAGGCGGCUUGUUGCGUCGACCGUGAAAAACCCGUGGCUCAACUGCGGGCUUCGGUGAUACGGGCGGGCUAGAGUUCGGUAGGGGGAGACUGGAAUUCCUGGUGUAGCGGUGAAAUGCGCAGAUAUCAGGAGGAACACCGGUGGCGAAGGCGGGUCUCUGGGCCAUACUGACGCUGAGGAGCGAAAGCGUGGGGGAGCAAACGG
Molecule: ribosomal RNA, 253 nt
Filed under: uncultured bacterium
Lineage: Bacteria
Description: partial 16S ribosomal RNA
Rfam family: Bacterial small subunit ribosomal RNA
Source: RNAcentral